GACGAACGCUGGCGGCGUGCUUAACACAUGCAAGUCGAACGGUAAGGCCCUGCUUUUGUGGGGUGCUCGAGUGGCGAACGGGUGAGUAACACGUGAGUAACCUGCCCUUGACUUUGGGAUAACUUCAGGAAACGGGGGCUAAUACCGGAUAUGAGCUCCUGCUGCAUGGGGGGGGUGGGAAAGGUUCUGCGGUUGGGGAUGGACUCGCGGCUUAUCAGCUUGUUGGUGGGGUAGUGGCUUACCAAGGCUUUGCCGGGUAGCCGGCCUGAGAGGGUGACCGGCCACAUUGGGACUGAGCUCCGGCCCAGGGUCCUACGGGAGGCAGCAGUGGGGAAUGUUGCACAAUGGGCGGAAGCCUGAUGCAGCAACGCCGCGUGCGGGAUGACGGCCUUCGGGUUGUAAACCGCUUUCGCCUGUGACGAAGCGUGAGUGACGGUAAUGGGUAAAGAAGCACCGGCUAACUACGUG
Molecule: ribosomal RNA, 468 nt
Filed under: uncultured bacterium
Lineage: Bacteria
Description: partial 16S ribosomal RNA
Rfam family: Bacterial small subunit ribosomal RNA
Source: RNAcentral